This 441-nucleotide ribosomal RNA is filed under the name uncultured Novosphingobium sp. Its description in RNAcentral is "bacterial SSU rRNA". It matches the Rfam family "Bacterial small subunit ribosomal RNA", at positions 337 to 795 of the family's 1533-position model. The record is from RNAcentral. Lineage: Bacteria; Pseudomonadati; Pseudomonadota; Alphaproteobacteria; Sphingomonadales; Sphingomonadaceae.
ACCUACGGGGGGCUGCAGUGGGGAAUAUUGGACAAUGGGCGAAAGCCUGAUCCAGCAAUGCCGCGUGAGUGAUGAAGGCCUUAGGGUUGUAAAGCUCUUUUACCAGGGAUGAUAAUGACAGUACCUGGAGAAUAAGCUCCGGCUAACUCCGUGCCAGCAGCCGCGGUAAUACGGAGGGAGCUAGCGUUGUUCGGAAUUACUGGGCGUAAAGCGCACGUAGGCGGCUACUCAAGUCAGAGGUGAAAGCCCGGGGCUCAACCCCGGAACUGCCUUUGAAACUAGGUAGCUAGAAUCUUGGAGAGGUCAGUGGAAUUCCGAGUGUAGAGGUGAAAUUCGUAGAUAUUCGGAAGAACACCAGUGGCGAAGGCGACUGACUGGACAAGUAUUGACGCUGAGGUGCGAAAGCGUGGGGAGCAAACAGGAUUAGAUACCCUAGUAGUC